RNAcentral lists this transfer RNA (31 nucleotides) under Physacanthus nematosiphon. Its description in RNAcentral is "partial tRNA-Phe". Lineage: Eukaryota; Viridiplantae; Streptophyta; Magnoliopsida; Lamiales; Acanthaceae. The record is from RNAcentral.
UCGGGAUAGCUCAGCCGGAUACAUGUGACGA